Mus pahari (shrew mouse) is the source of this 645-nucleotide RNA transcript. It is a transcript of the gene named fatty acid-binding protein 5 pseudogene, with no coding region annotated. Lineage: Eukaryota; Metazoa; Chordata; Mammalia; Rodentia; Muridae. The transcript has a single exon. The record is from RefSeq and is a predicted model, not a curated record.
CUGCUGCUUUUGUGCUCUCCCUCCCGCCCGCCAUGGCCAGCCUUAAGGAUCUCGAAGGGAAGUGGCGCCUGAUGGAAAGCCACAGCUUUGAGGAGUACAUGAAAGAGCUAGGAGUAGGACUGGCUCUUAGGAAGAUGGCUGCCAUGGCCAAGCCAGACUGUAUCAUUACCUGUGAUGGCGACAACAUCACCGUCAAAACCGAGAGCACGGUGAAGACGACUGUGUUCUCUUGUAUCCUGGGACAGAAGUUUGAUGAAACUACGGCUGAUAGAAGAAAAACUGAGACGGUCUGCACCUUCACAGACGGUGCCCUGGUCCAGCACCAGCAAUGGGACGGGAAGGAGAGCACAAUAACAAGAAAACUGAAGGAUGGGAAGAUGAUUGUGGAGUGUGUCAUGAACAAUGCCACCUGCACUCGGGUCUAUGAGAAGGUGCAAUGAGGGCUUCAUCGUCAUCCUGGACAGGAGUUAGCUGCCAGAGUGACUAUGCUCAAUUCAAUGAGCGGUCAUAAACAACAGAUGGCUUCAUUUCUUUGGUUUUAUUUUUCUUGACUGCUGAGUUCUCUUAAACACUUUACAGGGAACUCCAUGUCAAACUUGGUUUACCCAGGAUCAUUCCUUUGGUUAGUAAAUAAAUGUGUUUGUG